GAUGAACGCUAGCUACAGGCUUAACACAUGCAAGUCGAGGGGUAACGAGAGGGAAGCUUGCUUUCCUUGUCGACGACCGGCGCACGGGUGAGUAACGCGUAUCCAACCUGCCCCCAACUAGGGAAUAACCUUGCGAAAGUAAGACUAAUACCCUAUAAUUUCCUCAGAUGUCAUCUGACGAGGAAUAAAGAUUUAUCGGUUGUGGAUGGGGAUGCGUCUGAUUAGCUUGUUGGCGGGGUAACGGCCCACCAAGGCAACGAUCAGUAGGGGUUAUGAGAGGAAGGUCCCCCACAUGGGAACUGAGACACGGUCCAAACUCCUACGGGAGGCAGCAGUGAGGAAUAUUGGUCAAUGGGCGGAAGCCUGAACCAGCCAAGUAGCGUGCAGGAUGACGGCCCUAUGGGUUGUAAACUGCUUUUAUACAGGAAUAAAGUUAGCCACGUGUGGUUAUUUGUAGGUACUGUAUGAAUAAGGACCGGCUAAUUCCGUGCCAGCCGCCGCCGUAA
RNAcentral lists this ribosomal RNA (506 nucleotides) under uncultured bacterium. RNAcentral describes it as "partial 16S ribosomal RNA". It matches the Rfam family "Bacterial small subunit ribosomal RNA", at positions 28 to 523 of the family's 1533-position model. The record is from RNAcentral.